Molecule: ribosomal RNA, 468 nt
Filed under: uncultured bacterium
Lineage: Bacteria
Description: partial 16S ribosomal RNA
Rfam family: Bacterial small subunit ribosomal RNA
Source: RNAcentral
GACGAACGCUGGCGGCGCGCCUAACACAUGCAAGUCGAACGGAGCUGCGAGAAGCUUGCUUUUCUUAGCUUAGUGGCGAACGGGUGAGUAACGCGUGAGUAACCUGCCCUGGAGUGGGGGACAACAGCUGGAAACGACUGCUAAUACCGCAUAAGCCCACGAUCCGGCAUCGGAUUGAGGGAAAAGGAUUUAUUCGCUUCAGGAUGGACUCGCGUCCAAUUAGCUAGUUGGUGAGGUAACGGCCCACCAAGGCGACGAUUGGUAGCCGGACUGAGAGGUUGAGCGGCCACAUUGGGACUGAGACACAGCCCAGACUCCUACGGGAGGCAGCAGUGGGGGAUAUUGCACAAUGGGGGAAACCCUGAUGCAGCGACGCCGCGUGGAGGAAGAAGGUUUUCGGAUUGUAAACUCCUGUCGUUAGGGACGAUAAUGACGGUACCUAACAAGAAAGCACCGGCUAACUACGUG